Molecule: ribosomal RNA, 290 nt
Filed under: uncultured bacterium
Lineage: Bacteria
Description: partial 16S ribosomal RNA
Rfam family: Bacterial small subunit ribosomal RNA (bases 45-290)
Source: RNAcentral
CCGGGCGCGCCCCGGGCGGGGCGGGGGCACGGGGGGAACGCGAAGAACCUUACCUGGUCUUGACAUCCACGGAAGUUUUCAGAGAUGAGAAUGUGCCUUCGGGAACCGUGAGACAGGUGCUGCAUGGCUGUCGUCAGCUCGUGUUGUGAAAUGUUGGGUUAAGUCCCGCAACGAGCGCAACCCUUAUCCUUUGUUGCCAGCGGUCCGGCCGGGAACUCAAAGGAGACUGCCAGUGAUAAACUGGAGGAAGGUGGGGAUGACGUCAAGUCAUCAUGGCCCUUACGACCAGG